UACGGAAGGCAGCAGUGGGGAAUAUUGCACAAUGGGCGAAAGCCUGAUGCAGCUAUGCCGCGUGUAUGAAGAAGGCCUUAGGGUUGUAAAGUACUUUCAUCGGGGAGGAAAAACAAAACUAAUAAUUUUAUUUCUUGACGUUACCCGAAAAAGAAGCACCGGCUAACUCCGUGCCAGCAGCCGCGGUAAUACGGAGGGUGCUAGCGUUAAUCAGAAUUACUGGGCGUAAAGAGCACGUAGGUGGUUUUUUUAAGUCAGAUGUGAAAUCCCUGGGCUUAACCUAGGAACUGCAUUUUGAAACUGAAAUACUAGAGUAUCGUAGAGGGAGGUAGAAUUCUAGGUGUAGCGGUGAAAUGCGUAGAUAUCUGGAGGAAUACCUGUGGCGAAAGCGGCCUCCUAAACGAAUACUGACACUGAGGUGCGAAAGCGUAGGGAGCAAACAGGGAUUAGAUACC
This 455-nucleotide ribosomal RNA is filed under the name uncultured bacterium. RNAcentral describes it as "bacterial SSU rRNA". It matches the Rfam family "Bacterial small subunit ribosomal RNA", at positions 340 to 786 of the family's 1533-position model. The record is from RNAcentral.